Molecule: microRNA precursor, 113 nt
Filed under: Pelodiscus sinensis (Chinese soft-shelled turtle)
Lineage: Eukaryota; Metazoa; Chordata; Testudines; Trionychidae
Description: miRNA (ENSPSIG00000019885.1)
Source: RNAcentral
CAGGGUAGUUGUUGCGAAUGUUCCUCUCUGUGCUGCCAUUGGGAACCGUCCCAAAUCGGAAAGGGGGUGAGAAGUCAUUUGGUUUCUGGAACUAGAAAGGCAGAAAAAGAAAA